Molecule: ribosomal RNA, 404 nt
Filed under: uncultured bacterium
Lineage: Bacteria
Description: bacterial SSU rRNA
Rfam family: Bacterial small subunit ribosomal RNA
Source: RNAcentral
UGGGGGAUAUUGCACAAUGGAGGAAACUCUGAUGCAGCAACGCCGCGUGAGGGAAGAAGGUCUUCGGAUUGUAAACCUUUGUCCUCGGUGACGAUAAUGACGGUAGCCGAGGAGGAAGCUCCGGCUAACUACGUGCCAGCAGCCGCGGUAAUACGUAGGGAGCGAGCGUUGUCCGGAUUUACUGGGUGUAAAGGGUGCGUAGGCGGCUCUGCAAGUCAGGUGUGAAAACUAUCAGCUUAACUGAUAGACUGCAUUUGAAACUGUGGAGCUUGAGUGGAGCAGAGGCAGAUGGAAUUCCCGGUGUAGCGGUGAAAUGCGUAGAGAUCGGGAGGAACACCAGUGGCGAAGGCGAUCUGCUGGGCUUUAACUGACGCUGAGGCACGAAAGCAUGGGUAGCAAACAGG